RNAcentral lists this ribosomal RNA (1287 nucleotides) under metagenome. RNAcentral describes it as "bacterial SSU rRNA". It matches the Rfam family "Bacterial small subunit ribosomal RNA", at positions 242 to 1520 of the family's 1533-position model. The record is from RNAcentral.
UAGCUAGUUGGUGAGGUAAAGGCUUACCAAGGCGACGAUCUGUAGCGGGUCUGAGAGGAUGAUCCGCCACACUGGAACUGAGACACGGUCCAGACUCCUACGGGAGGCAGCAGUGGGGAAUUUUGGACAAUGGGGGCAACCCUGAUCCAGCCAUGCCGCGUGAGUGAAGAAGGCCUUCGGGUUGUAAAGCUCUUUCGGCCGGGAAGAAAUCGCAUGGGCCAAUACCCUGUGUGGAUGACGGUACCGGAAUAAGAAGCACCGGCUAACUACGUGCCAGCAGCCGCGGUAAUACGUAGGGUGCGAGCGUUAAUCGGAAUUACUGGGCGUAAAGCGUGCGCAGGCGGUUUUGUAAGACAGGCGUGAAAUCCCCGGGCUUAACCUGGGAACUGCGUUUGUGACUGCAAGGCUAGAGUACGGCAGAGGGGGGUGGAAUUCCACGUGUAGCAGUGAAAUGCGUAGAGGUGUGGAGGAACACCAAUGGCGAAGGCAGCCCCCUGGGUCGAUACUGACGCUCAUGCACGAAAGCGUGGGUAGCAAACAGGAUUAGAUACCCUGGUAGUCCACGCCCUAAACUAUGUCAACUAGGUGUUGGGUGGGUAAAACCAUUUAGUACCGUAGCUAACGCGUGAAGUUGACCGCCUGGGGAGUACGGCCGCAAGGUUAAAACUCAAAGGAAUUGACGGGGACCCGCACAAGCGGUGGAUGAUGUGGAUUAAUUCGAUGUAACGCGAAAAACCUUACCUACCCUUGACAUGCCAGGAACUUGCCAGAGAUGGCUUGGUGCCCGAAAGGGAGCCUGGACACAGGUGCUGCAUGGCUGUCGUCAGCUCGUGUCGUGAGAUGUUGGGUUAAGUCCCGCAACGAGCGCAACCCUUGUCGUUAAUUGCCAUCAUUUAGUUGGGCACUUUAACGAGACUGCCGGUGACAAACCGGAGGAAGGUGGGGAUGACGUCAAGUCCUCAUGGCCCUUAUGGGUAGGGCUUCACACGUCAUACAAUGGUCGGUACAAAGGGUUGCCAAGCCGCGAGGCGGAGCCAAUCCCAGAAAGCCGAUCGUAGUCCGGAUUGCAGGCUGCAACUCGCCUGCAUGAAGUCGGAAUCGCUAGUAAUCGUGGAUCAGCAUGUCACGGUGAAUACGUUCCCGGGUCUUGUACACACCGCCCGUCACACCAUGGGAGCGGGUUCCGCCAGAAGUAGGUAGCCUAACCGCAAGGGGGGCGCUUACCACGGCGGGGUUCGUGACUGGGGUGAAGUCGUAACAAGGUAGCCGUAGGGGAACCUGCGGCUG